This 433-nucleotide ribosomal RNA is filed under the name uncultured bacterium. RNAcentral describes it as "partial 16S ribosomal RNA". It matches the Rfam family "Bacterial small subunit ribosomal RNA", at positions 29 to 507 of the family's 1533-position model. The record is from RNAcentral.
AACGAACGCUGGCGGCAUGCCUAACACAUGCAAGUCGAACGACACCUUCGGAUCUGGUGGCUCAUAGGGGUGUAACGCGGGGGAACGUUCACGUAGGUUCCGAAAUACACCUCGUAGGGGGGGCUAAUACCGGGUAAGUUCCUCGGACAACAGAUUUAUCGUCCUGGGAUGGGCCCGCGAUGGUUUACACUGUUGGUAGGGUAAAAGCCUCCCAAGGCGACGAUCCAUAGCUGGUAUGAGAGGAUGAUCAGCCACACUGGGACUGGGACACGGCCCAGACUCCUACGGGAGGCAGCAGUGGGGAAUAUUGGACAAUGGGCGAAAGCCUGAUCCCGCAAUGCCGGGUGAGUGCUGUAGGCCUUAGGGUUGUACAGCUCUUUUACCCGGGAUGAUAAUGACGGUACCGGGAGAAUAAGCUCCGGCUAACUCCGUG